CAGAAACUCAAAGGAAUUGACGGGGCCCGGCACAAGCGGAGGAGGCAUGUGGUUUAAUUCGAUGAUACGCGAGGAACCUUACCUGGGCUCGAACGUAAGAUGACUGUAGGUGAAAGCUUACAUCUCUUCGGAGCAUUUUACGAGGUGCUGCAUGGUUGUCGUCAGCUCGUGCCGUGAGGUGUCGGGUUAAGUCCCAUAACGAGCGCAACCCCUACCUUUAGUUGCCAUCAGGUAAUGCUGGGGACUCUAAAGGAACUGCCUACGCAAGUAGUGAGGAAGGCGGGGAUGACGUCAAAUCAGCACGGCCCUUACGUCCAGGGCUACACACGUGCUACAAUGGCCGAUACAGAGGGCAGCUACCUGGUGACAGGAUGCAAAUCUCCAAAGUCGGUCUCAGUUCGGAUCGGAGUCUGCAACCCGACUCCGUGAAGUUGGAUUCGCUAGUAAUCGCGCAUCAGCCAUGGCGCGGUGAAUACGUUCCCGGGCCUU
This 489-nucleotide ribosomal RNA is filed under the name uncultured Sphingobacteriales bacterium. RNAcentral's name for it is "bacterial SSU rRNA". It matches the Rfam family "Bacterial small subunit ribosomal RNA", at positions 894 to 1382 of the family's 1533-position model. The record is from RNAcentral. Lineage: Bacteria; Pseudomonadati; Bacteroidota; Sphingobacteriia; Sphingobacteriales.